This 524-nucleotide ribosomal RNA is filed under the name uncultured bacterium. Its description in RNAcentral is "bacterial SSU rRNA". It matches the Rfam family "Bacterial small subunit ribosomal RNA", at positions 229 to 769 of the family's 1533-position model. The record is from RNAcentral.
GCCCGCGGCCGAUUAGCUAGUUGGUAGGGUAAUGGCCUACCAAGGCGACGAUCGGUAGCCGGCCUGAGAGGGCACACGGCCACACUGGCACUGAAACACGGGCCAGACUCCUACGGGAGGCAGCAGUGGGGAAUCUUGCACAAUGGGGGGAAACCCUGAUGCAGCGACGCCGCGUGAACGAUGAAGCCCUUCGGGGUGUAAAGUUCUUUCGACGGGGACGAUAAUGACGGUACCCGGAGAAGAAGCUGCGGCUAACUACGUGCCAGCAGCCGCGGUAAUACGUAGGCAGCAAGCGUUGUUCGGAAUUACUGGGCGUAAAGAGUGCGUAGGCGGUUGGCUAAGUUUGGUGUGAAAUCUCCCGGCUCAACUGGGAGGGUGCGCCGAAAACUGGUCGGCUAGAGUGUGGGAGAGGUAAGUGGAAUUCCUGGUGUAGCGGUGAAAUGCGUAGAUAUCAGGAGGAACACCUGCGGUGUAGACGGCUUACUGGACCAUGACUGACGCUGAGGCACGAAAGCGUGGGGAGC